CCAAUGCAAGUCGAGCGGAUGAUGGGAGCUUGCUCCCGGAUUCAGCGGCGGACGGGUGAGUAAUGCCUAGAAAUCUGCCUGGUAUGGGGGACAACGUUUCGAAAGGAACGCUAAUACCGCAUACGUCCUACGGGAGAAAGCAGGGGACCUUCGGGCCUUGCGCUAUCAGAUGAGCCUAGGUCGGAUUAGCUAGUUGGUGGGGUAAAGGCCUACCAAGGCGACGAUCCGUAACUGGUCUGAGAAGAUGAUCAGUCACACUGGAACUGAGACACGGUCCAGACUCCUACGGGAGGCAGCAGUGGGGAAUAUUGGACAAUGGGCGAAAGCCUGAUCCAGCCAUGCCGCGUGUGUGAAGAAGGUCUUCGGAUUGUAAAGCACUUUAAGUUGGGAGGAAGGGCAGUAAGUUAAUACCUUGCUGUUUUGACGUUACCAACAGAAUAAGCACCGGCUAACUUCGUGCCAGCAGCCGCGGUAAUACGGGAGGGGGCUAGCGUUGUUCGGAAUUACUGGGCGUAAAGCGCACGUAGGCGGACCAGAAAGUUGGGGGUGAAAU
This 553-nucleotide ribosomal RNA is filed under the name uncultured Pseudomonadaceae bacterium. RNAcentral's name for it is "bacterial SSU rRNA". It matches the Rfam family "Bacterial small subunit ribosomal RNA", at positions 53 to 600 of the family's 1533-position model. The record is from RNAcentral. Lineage: Bacteria; Pseudomonadati; Pseudomonadota; Gammaproteobacteria; Pseudomonadales; Pseudomonadaceae.